ACUGGAAGGUGCAGGUUUGUUGGGGAAUAACUUGGAAACUGGUGCUAGCUUCCAGCCUGUUAGUUUACUUAAGUUCAACCUAAGGCCAGGCUCUGUAAGAUGGAGUCUGAACUCAAAAGAUUUGAUCUCUUAGUGUGUUUAGUUGACAGUACACAGCUUAAGAAAGUGAUUUCCCCCCUUUUCAGACUCUAUUGGAAGCCACUAGUUCAGAGAUAAAAGGUAGGGUCCCUUGAUCCUUUUUUCAUCUGUCAAUGGAUUGCUGAGAGCAUCAGUCUGGUGUGCAAGUAUUGCAGGUUAAGCCAAUCACAUCAGUCAAGGAAAUGCAUAGUGCAGAGAGUGGGUGACAAGAAGCAGGACUCACACAGCUACUCAAAAACUUUGAUAUUGUAACAUCUAUUGAAAAUAUUUUUGCUUGUGAAUUUGGCUGUAGCAUAUGUCUUCCACUUUAACCACCAAAGGCAGCCUCCUUCUGCAAGUCUGCUCAAGGAGAAACACAAAGCAAUUCUGAGACCUCUGGACUUAGUGCUCCCAUCCCACGGGAGAUCCCAAUGGUUCUGGUUGCCAAAAGAAGAUAAUGAUGGGGUAGGAGACAGCACAGAAAAUUAUGACAGGUUGACUGUGCCAGCACGCAAAAUGCACUGAAAUGCCUCAGAGGCUCCUGAAGCAGCCUUGGAAACACCAUCCAUUGGCUCUCAUCUGGAAACCACAACUGCUUCUUAUAGAAGGUUCAGUGGUCAAGGCU
Long non-coding RNA from Mus musculus (house mouse), 742 nucleotides. RefSeq annotates it as predicted gene, 36408. The transcript is spliced from 3 exons. Lineage: Eukaryota; Metazoa; Chordata; Mammalia; Rodentia; Muridae. The record is from RefSeq and is a predicted model, not a curated record.